GUAAGGAAUAUUGGUCAAUGGAGGCAACUCUGAACCAGCCAUGCCGCGUGCAGGAAGACGGCCCUCUGGGUUGUAAACUGCUUUUAUCUAGGAAUAAACCUACUUACGUGUAAGUAGCUGAAUGUACUAGAAGAAUAAGGAUCGGCUAACUCCGUGCCAGCAGCCGCGGUAAUACGGAGGAUCCAAGCGUUAUCCGGAUUUAUUGGGUUUAAAGGGUGCGUAGGCGGCCUAUUAAGUCAGGGGUGAAAGACGGUAGCUCAACUAUCGCAGUGCCCUUGAUACUGAUGGGCUUGAAUGAACUAGAGGUAGGCGGAAUGUGACAAGUAGCGGUGAAAUGUUUAGAUAUGUCACAGAACACCGAUUGCGAAGGCAGCUUACUAUGGUUUUAUUGACGCUGAGGCACGAAAGCGUGGGGAUCAAACAGGAUUAGAUACCCCAGUAGUCC
This 445-nucleotide ribosomal RNA is filed under the name uncultured bacterium. Its description in RNAcentral is "partial 16S ribosomal RNA". It matches the Rfam family "Bacterial small subunit ribosomal RNA", at positions 354 to 796 of the family's 1533-position model. The record is from RNAcentral.